GACGAACGCUGGCGGCGUGCUUAACACAUGCAAGUCGAACGGAAAGGCCUCUUUCGGGGGGUACUCGAGUGGCGAACGGGUGAGUAACACGUGAGUAACCUGCCCUUGACUUUGGGAUAACUUCAGGAAACUGGGACUAAUACCGGAUAGGAGCUCCUGCUGCAUGGUGGGGGUUGGAAAGUUUCGGCGGUUGGGGAUGGACUCGCGGCUUAUCAGCUUGUUGGUGGGGUAGUGGCUUACCAAGGCUUUGACGGGUAGCCGGCCUGAGAGGGUGACCGGCCACAUUGGGACUGAGAUACGGCCCAGACUCCUACGGGAGGCAGCAGUGGGGAAUAUUGCACAAUGGGUGGAAGCCUGAUGCAGCAACGCCGUGUGCGGGAUGACGGCCUUCGGGUUGGAAACCGCUUUCGCUCAUGACGAAGCUUUGUGUGACGGUAGUGGGUAAAGAAGCACCGGCUAACUACGUG
RNAcentral lists this ribosomal RNA (467 nucleotides) under uncultured bacterium. RNAcentral describes it as "partial 16S ribosomal RNA". It matches the Rfam family "Bacterial small subunit ribosomal RNA", at positions 28 to 507 of the family's 1533-position model. The record is from RNAcentral.